AGGUGUGAUCAUACCAGUAUUAAUGCACCGGAUCCCAUCAGAACUCCGCAGUGAAGCGUGCUUGGGCGAAUAUGAGGUUGAGGAUG
RNAcentral lists this ribosomal RNA (86 nucleotides) under Lupinus angustifolius (narrow-leaved blue lupine). Lineage: Eukaryota; Viridiplantae; Streptophyta; Magnoliopsida; Fabales; Fabaceae. The record is from RNAcentral.